This is a long non-coding RNA of Astyanax mexicanus (Mexican tetra), 238 nucleotides long. RefSeq lists it as uncharacterized. The record is from RefSeq and is a predicted model, not a curated record. Lineage: Eukaryota; Metazoa; Chordata; Actinopteri; Characiformes; Acestrorhamphidae. The transcript has 2 exons.
UUUUCGUGUUAGGCAUUCCCUGUUGAAGCUAUUGAGACCAAAAUCUGUAUCUACUUUGCUCUAUAUGCUUUUUAUAUAGUGAACUUGACUGAGAGAGCCUGCAGAGAACUUGACUGAGAGAGGAGAAACAAAUACACAGACUGAAGCUGAUUCCGGUGUCCUGAGCUUUAUUCCAUACACACACAACGCAGAAGAGGGUAGCAGCAGAGUGCAGACCGGCUACAUCAGCAGUGAUAUU